RNAcentral lists this ribosomal RNA (2896 nucleotides) under Lacimicrobium alkaliphilum. RNAcentral describes it as "bacterial LSU rRNA". It matches the Rfam family "Bacterial large subunit ribosomal RNA". Lineage: Bacteria; Pseudomonadati; Pseudomonadota; Gammaproteobacteria; Alteromonadales; Alteromonadaceae. The record is from RNAcentral.
GUUGUAUGGUUAAGUAACAAAGCGUAUACGGUGGAUGCCUAGGCAGUUAGAGGCGAUGAAGGACGUGUAAGUCUGCGAAAAGCUGUGGUGAGCUGACAAAACGCAUUUGAGCCACAGAUGUCCGAAUGGGGAAACCCAGUGCAUUUAUGCAUUAUCACUUAGUGAAUACAUAGCUAAGUGAGGCGAACCGGGAGAACUGAAACAUCUAAGUACCCCGAGGAAAAGAAAUCAACCGAGAUUCCCCUAGUAGCGGCGAGCGAACGGGGAGUAGCCCUUAAGUUAUCAGUGUUUUAGUGGAAGGCUCUGGAAAGUGCCGCCAUAGUGGGUGAUAGCCCCGUACACAAAGGAACGCUGAUAGUGAAAUCGAGUAGGUCGGGACACGUGUUAUCUUGACUGAACAUGGGGGGACCAUCCUCCAAGGCUAAAUACUCCUAACUGACCGAUAGUGAACCAGUACCGUGAGGGAAAGGCGAAAAGAACCCCUGUGAGGGGAGUGAAAUAGAACCUGAAACCGUAUACGUACAAGCAGUCGGAGCCCUUCGGGGUGACGGCGUACCUUUUGUAUAAUGGGUCAGCGACUUAUAUUUAGUAGCGAGGUUAACCGAUUAGGGGAGCCGUAGCGAAAGCGAGUGUUAACUGCGCGUUCAGUUGCUAGGUAUAGACCCGAAACCCGGUGAUCUAGCCAUGGGCAGGUUGAAGGUUGAGUAACAUCAACUGGAGGACCGAACUCACUAAUGUUGAAAAAUUAGGAGAUGACUUGUGGCUGGGGGUGAAAGGCCAAUCAAACCGGGAGAUAGCUGGUUCUCCCCGAAAGCUAUUUAGGUAGCGCCUCGGACGAACACCUACGGGGGUAGAGCACUGUUUGGGCUAGGGGGUCAUCCCGACUUACCAACCCCAUGCAAACUCCGAAUACCGUAGAGUGCUAUCCGGGAGACACACGGCGGGUGCUAACGUCCGUCGUGAAGAGGGAAACAACCCAGACCGCCAGCUAAGGUCCCAAAAUAUUGCUAAGUGGGAAACGAUGUGGAAAGGCCCAGACAGCUAGGAGGUUGGCUUAGAAGCAGCCACCCUUUAAAGAAAGCGUAAUAGCUCACUAGUCGAGUCGGUCUGCGCGGAAGAUGUAACGGGGCUAAGCAAUAUACCGAAGCUGCGGCAGCAUACUAAGUAUGCUGGGUAGGGGAGCGUUGUGUAAGUGGCUGAAGGUGACUCGAGAGGGUUGCUGGACAUAUCACAAGUGCGAAUGCUGACAUGAGUAACGAUAAAGGGGGUGAAAAACCCCCUCGCCGGAAGACCAAGGUUUCCUGUCCCAUGCUAAUCAGGGCAGGGUAAGUCGGCCCCUAAGGCGAGGCCGAAAGGCGUAGUCGAUGGGAAACGGGUUAAUAUUCCCGUACCGGUAUUAUCAGUGAAGGGGGGACGGAGAAGGCUAUGCAGGCAUGGCGUUGGUAGUCCAUGUGAAAGUGCGUAGGGAGAUGAAUUAGGUAAAUCCGGUUCAUUAAUUCUGAGACACGAGACGAGUCACUACGGUGAUGAAGUUGCAGAUGCCCUGCUUCCAGGAAAAGCCUCUAAGCUUAUGAUAAUACUGACCGUACCCCAAACCGACACAGGUGGUCAGGUAGAGAAUACCAAGGCGCUUGAGAGAACUCGGGUGAAGGAACUCGGCAAAAUAGUACCGUAACUUCGGGAGAAGGUACGCCCCUGUUUGUGAAGGCUUUACGCCGUAAGCGAAUGGGGGCCGCAGUGACCAGGUGGCUGGGACUGUUUAUUAAAAACACAGCACUGUGCUAAAUCGAAAGAUGACGUAUACGGUGUGACACCUGCCCGGUGCCGGAAGGUUAAUUGAUGGGGUUAGCUUAGGCGAAGCUCUUGAUCGAAGCCCCGGUAAACGGCGGCCGUAACUAUAACGGUCCUAAGGUAGCGAAAUUCCUUGUCGGGUAAGUUCCGACCUGCACGAAUGGUGUAACCAUGGCCACGCUGUCUCCACCCGAGACUCAGUGAAAUUGAAAUUGCCGUGAAGAUGCGGUGUACCCGCGGCUAGACGGAAAGACCCCGUGAACCUUUACUACAGCUUGGCACUGAACAUUGACCCUACAUGUGUAGGAUAGGUGGGAGGCUAUGAAGCAUUGUCGCCAGAUGAUGUGGAGCUGCCCUUGAAAUACCACCCUUGUAUGUUUGAUGUUCUAACGUUGUCCCAUUAUCUGGGAUGCGGACAGUGUCUGGUGGGUAGUUUGACUGGGGCGGUCUCCUCCCAAAGCGUAACGGAGGAGCACGAAGGUUGGCUAAUCCUGGUCGGACAUCAGGAGGUUAGUGUAAUGGCAUAAGCCAGCUUAACUGCGAGACAGACACGUCGAGCAGGUACGAAAGUAGGUCAUAGUGAUCCGGUGGUUCUGAAUGGAAGGGCCAUCGCUCAACGGAUAAAAGGUACUCCGGGGAUAACAGGCUGAUACCGCCCAAGAGUUCAUAUCGACGGCGGUGUUUGGCACCUCGAUGUCGGCUCAUCACAUCCUGGGGCUGAAGUCGGUCCCAAGGGUAUGGCUGUUCGCCAUUUAAAGUGGUACGCGAGCUGGGUUUAGAACGUCGUGAGACAGUUCGGUCCCUAUCUGCCGUGGGCGCUGGAUGAUUGAGGGGAGCUGCUCCUAGUACGAGAGGACCGGAGUGGACGAACCGCUGGUGUUCGGGUUGUCAUGCCAAUGGCACUGCCCGGUAGCUACGUUCGGAAUCGAUAACCGCUGAAAGCAUCUAAGCGGGAAGCGAGCCCCAAGAUGAGUCAUCCCUGACAGUUUACUGUCCUGAAGGGUUGUCUGAGACUAAGACGUUGAUAGGCAGGGUGUGGAAGCGUUGUAAGGCGUUAAGCUAACCUGUACUAAUUGCCCGUGAGGCUUAACCAUACAACACCCAA